Salmo salar (Atlantic salmon) is the source of this 1618-nucleotide long non-coding RNA. RefSeq lists it as uncharacterized. Lineage: Eukaryota; Metazoa; Chordata; Actinopteri; Salmoniformes; Salmonidae. The record is from RefSeq and is a predicted model, not a curated record.
CAUUGCGAGAUGGAGGGAAUCUGAUUUUUCAUUGGUCCUCAACUCGCAGCUGAGUCAUUUCAGUCAGGGUAAGUGGAGUUAGCCCUGAGUCAGUCUGCCACGGAGCAGGUUAGUUCUGAACGAUUUGUUGCCAUAGAAACGUACCUGGCUGAAAGGUGAGACACUUUCGUAUGGCCGGUUAUCCUGAUUUGAACUCAAGAGUUGGCCAAAGUUACCUCGCUAAAAAGUACAGUCAGGUCAAAUGUAGGGGUGGCUGAAGAUCACUCUCCUGUAGUGUCUGAAACGGCAACCUAUUUCCUAUUUAGUGCAGUAUAAGGGCCAAUAGGACACUAUAUAGGGUGCUAUUCAGUACGCAGGCUUGUUGAUAGAGUAGCAUUCUGUGCUGGUUCUUGGUCUUCCUGGGACCAGUACUGCCUGGAAAAUAGUCUCUGUCUUGGUACUCUGAUGGGAGUAUGAAGGAUCAUGCAGGGCUGGGAAAACUGGUGCUCUGGAGUGAAGGGAAACAAUCUGUGCCAUGGUGAGACAUUCCACCACCUAAAGGCUGUGCAGGGCUGGGAAAACUGGUGCUCUGGAGUGAAGGGAAACAAUCUGUGCCAUGGUGAGACAUUCCACCACCUAAAGGCUGUGCAGGGCUGGGAAAACUGUUUCUCUAGUGUGAAGAGAAACAAUCUGUGCCAUGGUGAGACAUUCCACCACCUAAAGGCUGUGCAGGGCUGGGAAAACUGUUUCUCUGGCGUGAAGGGAAACAAUCUGUACCAUGGUGAGACAUUCCACCACCUAAAGGCUGUGCAGGGCUGGGAAAACUGUUUUUCUGGCGUGAAGGGAAACAAUCUGUGCCAUGGUGAUACAUUCCACCACCCAAAGGCUGUCCUUUACCAGAUGAUGUGUUCUGUUUCUCUCCCUCUCGACUAUUUGUUCAUUUGUAUGCAGUGUUAUGGAGUAGUGAACUACGCUGUAGUUCAACUAGUAAUUUAACUACAGUAGCUUGGCAGUAGUUGAACUAAACUCAAAUCUUUGUAGUGUUUUCAGUAGUUCAUUCCCAUUUUUUGUCUAAUAGGCUACAUUGCACAUUCUUUUAACAUCUGACUCCAAAGUGAAGAGAGUCUAUGACAUUUCAGAUUCAUUACAAAGUAGUUUGAUGAGGUGAACUGUUUUUUUUUUUCAAAGUAACUUCAGUUAGAUAUAUUCUUAAGGACGGCUUUAGUGUAGCUUAACUUCCACCAGUGUGAAGUAAAUUGGUAGCUUUGGUCAACUAUAUGUUCAGAGUAACUUCUCUCAACACUGCUUGUGUGUUUUUGUUUUCAUCUGAGCUGUCACAUCUGCUCCUGCCAGGUAUGCUGGAGUCAGAGCAGAUCCCCACCAGCUGCAACCUGUUCCUUAAUCAAGACUUCUACAUAUACUCAGUUCUGCCCGCUCUGACUCUGGUCCGUCUCCAGUUCCACGUCUCAUCAUCCUGCUACUCUGUCCUGGAUUCCCCUCCGGACCUGCUUACCCUGCGCCCACACACCUCUCGCUCCAGCCUCAGCCUCCGCACCUGGUUUCCAGCAACCCGCCCGAGCUUCCCCUGACCUGCAUUCAACCUUCCCCUCGUGUUUUAAUAAAUACCUUGGUUACUUCA